RNAcentral lists this ribosomal RNA (421 nucleotides) under uncultured bacterium. RNAcentral describes it as "bacterial SSU rRNA". It matches the Rfam family "Bacterial small subunit ribosomal RNA", at positions 355 to 774 of the family's 1533-position model. The record is from RNAcentral.
UAAGGAAUAUUGGUCAAUGGACGCAAGUCUGAACCAGCCAUGCCGCGUGACGGAUGAAGGUCCUCUGGAUUGUAAACUUCUUUUAUCUGGGACGAAAACGGGAUUUUUAUCUCAAUUGACGGUACCAGAGGAAUAAGCACCGGCUAACUCCGUGCCAGCAGCCGCGGUAAUACGGAGGGUGCGAGCGUUAUCCGGAUUUACUGGGUUUAAAGGGUGCGUAGGUGGGCUUAUAAGUCAGUGGUGAAAUCUCCGAGCUUAACUUGGAAACUGCCGUUGAUACUAUAGGUCUUGAAUUAUCUGGAGGUAAGCGGAAUAUGUCAUGUAGCGGUGAAAUGCUUAGAUAUGACAUAGAACACCAAUUGCGAAGGCAGCUUACUACAUAUAAAUUGACGCUGAGGCACGAAAGCGUGGGGAUCAAACA